RNAcentral lists this ribosomal RNA (617 nucleotides) under Clonostachys sp. OTU083 AN-2016. RNAcentral describes it as "eukaryotic LSU rRNA". The stretch from base 230 to 383 matches the Rfam family "5.8S ribosomal RNA". The record is from RNAcentral. Lineage: Eukaryota; Fungi; Ascomycota; Sordariomycetes; Hypocreales; Bionectriaceae.
UUCCUGGGCCAUAAGAUGAGGUUAAAGUCGUAACAUCAGUUCUCGUUGGUGACAGCGGAGGGUCAUUACCGAGUUUACAACUCCCAAACCCAUGUGAACAUACCUACUUGCUUGCUAUCGGCGGGAUUGCCCCGGAGCGCCUCGUGUGCCCCGGAUCAGGCGCCCGCCUAGGAAACUUAAUUCUUGUUUUAUUUUGGAAUCUUCUGAGUAGUUUUUACAAAUAAAUAAAAACUUUCAACAACGGAUCUCUUGGUUCUGGCAUCGAUGAAGAACGCAGCGAAAUGCGAUAAGUAAUGUGAAUUGCAGAAUUCAGUGAAUCAUCGAAUCUUUGAACGCACAUUGCGCCCGCCAGUAUUCUGGCGGGCAUGCCUGUCUGAGCGUCAUUUCAACCCUCAUGCCCCUAGGGCGUGGUGUUGGGGAUCGGCCAAAGCCCGCGAGGGACGGCCGGCCCCUAAAUCUAGUGGCGGACCCGUCGUGGCCUCCUCUGCCAAGUAGUGAUAUUCCGCAUCGGAUAGCGACGAGCCCCUGCCGUUAAACCCCCAACUUUCCCAGGUUGACCUCAGAUCAAGUAGGAAUACCCCGCCUGAACUUAAGCUUAUCUUAUGGGGGAGGAAGGA